ACGCGCCGCAGGUCAGGACUAGGCUGGAGCCGAGCCGCGGGGCUCGCGGAGGCGGCGGCGGCGGCGGCGGCUACUGCUGGGGGAGCCUGGCCAGGGCCCGCGGCGGAGGCCGUGGCUAGUACUGGGAAGGUGGCGGGGAGGGACGCGGGAGGAAGAUGGCGACGUCGGGGGCGAACGGGCCCGGCUCUGCCACGGCCUCGGCUUCCAAUCCGCGCAAGUUUAGUGAGAAGAUCGCGUUGCAGAAGCAGCGUCAGGCCGAGGAGACGGCGGCCUUCGAGGAGGUGAUGAUGGACAUCGGCUCCACCCGGGUGAGGGGCCGCGCCGGGGAGCGGGAGCGAAGCGGAGCAGUUACGGAGCGGAGAGGCGGGGCAGGGGCGGGAGCCGCAGCCCUGGAGGCGGAACAGGGUUGAGGCGACGGCGGCGGGCGCCGCCGUCUGGGAGGCUCGGGUUGAGGGCCGAGGGGACUGGAAGACGAAUUUUGCUCGGGAGAUGGAAAUACAGGAGAGGUGGGGGAUGUGGGUGCGACUGGGGGCCGAGUACGUGAGUCGGAGAUGGGCCGAGAGGGAAGAUGGGCCCCCGAAGGCCAGGGGAGGUGGGGAGUCCUUGUGCGUGCCGGGAGGAGUCCCCUUGGGGACUCCACUGAAGCAUCCCAGAUCUUGGGUUAUGGAUUUUAGGAUGGACUGCUUGUCCCUAAUUUGGUUCUUCUGAGGUUGUGCUCUCUAGACUGGUCUCUGCCCUGUUGUGCCGCUCUCAGCACUUUGGUAUCUACGGGAAAGGGCCCCUUGAGUGGUUUGAACGAGCAGUGUUGGGUAUAGUGGGGCAGGAAGUCCCCUCCUGCGUCCCGUCCCUUUGCUUCCUUUUUCAAGUACUUCUUGUGGUUUCCUGACGUGAGUGAAGGUGAGGUCCACUGCUCACAGGCUGGUGCUCCAUCUUUUGCCUUGGCCGCCUUGAAGGAAAAGUAGAGUUUUGAAUCCCAAAACUGGGUAACUGAUUUUUUUCUUUUUAGGUUGCAUAGAACCCGAUGAUUUGCUGGACUUUCUAGGGAGAUGCUGCCCUGUGGGUCAGUUUCUGGAGUGCCUCGGAGGGUCCCCCAUGAGGAGGGUAUAUUCAUUCCUAGGAAAUUCUUAGAAUUUUCAGGUCUCUGACAAGCUGCCUCUGAAGCCCCUCUGGCCUUGGUUUCUUGCUGCCCAAGGCUGGAUGUCCAAGGGCCACUGUCAAAAGAGUUUGCCCAGCUGGUAUGCAGUGCUAAUUUAGGGACACAUUAUUCUCAAAUAAUAGGUGAGAGGAUUUUGCUGUGAUCCCUCAUGGCAAAGAACUGGAAGAAAUUUAAAGGGAGAUGGUGGACAUAAGUGUCGCAUUUCAACGCUCCUUGUGAUUGCAUCUAUCAAUGAUUAUGUCUCUUGAUUAUAUUUUUGUGUGCCUCUUCCUUGAUUCUGUUAGUCUCUUUUGUGUUUUUCCCCUCUGAGUCUCUAGGGACCAUGUGCCCUAGAUUAUGAGAGCCAAAACAGAAAAAGAUAGGUGGGGAGGCAAGUGUGUGUGUGUGUGUGUGUGUGUGUGUUUGUGUACACAUACACAGGCAUAUGCUUGCAUAACCCACUCUAACUACUAUGAGGAUUAUGCUCUAACGCUUGACUGCUCUCUAGGAACUUUUGAUCAUAGCGGUACAGAGAGAAGAUGGGAGAGGGGCUCAUCCUCAGCUGAGAGCUCUGCCCUCUGGACCAGGAUUCUAGCAGAGGCAUGGUGUGAUCUUAGGGCUUGUAUGUGCAAACAAGGCUGUGAGAAACUCAAAGCUGGGAUUCCUAUUUGUGGUGCUUUGGUUCAUCAAAAGGACCUUCUACCUGCCUUUUCUCUCCUGAUUCUUUUCUGCUAUGUAAAAAAGUCUAGUGGACAUUCAUGGCCAGGGCCUGGGGACCUAAAAAUCUUGAACUAGCAAUGAGAGAUCUGGGGCUCAGCUUGUUACCUGGCCAGUUGGGAGGGCUCAUUUGAAUCAGAUAUGGCCAUAUUUGUUCUACUGAGAGGCUAGGGUUGCCAUAUUUAUUAACAGUGAUUUUGAAGGACCCAGAGGUAAGCACAGUGCCCACCAAACUCAGUGGGUUGAGCUCCUAGAACAGGAAUUCAGGUUUGAUGUACGCUUACAUGGCAACAGUGUGAUCCUGGAAGCUCUUGGAAUUUACCAUCCUCAGCUGUUCUCCUCCCCAUGGCCUUGCUCUGGGUCUCUUUGUCUGGUGGUAGUGACUGAGGACACAAAUCUGCAGGCAGGCUAAAUCCAUGUCAAGCUGAGGGAUAUGGUGUAUCACUUCUGUCCCAGACUUAUUUCUCUGAAAUAGGGGUAAGGGCCAGGGAGGUGGCUCUGGCCCAGGCUGGAGUGGGCUCCUGAGCCCCCUCCUACCUCCAUUCACUAGGCUUCCCUGCCAAUUAAGGGGCCUUAGGAUCCAGUGGAAGUAUUCUGCUUUUCUAGUGGGCAAAGCCAUUAUUUCCUGGAUCUUCUAAUUUGGGAGGUACAGGCUGUGAUUUGGCUGGGCAAGUGGCAUAGCCUAGUAGCCUGCGUUCUCUUUGAGUGUGAAGGAAAAAGGAUGGCAAUAAUGGAUCUAUGACAUCCACCUGUGACCUUGCCCUUCUAAUUAGUCCUGGGUAUAUCUGGAAAUGAAACCAGAAGUGCCUAAUAGGCACCCAUCUCUGUGACUAGUCCCUAGUAACCCCUAGGGACUCUGCUUAGACUGAUGCUGACCGAGCUAGGCAGCGGCGAUCUCACUGAUGAGGGUAGGCUACAGAAGGGCUGGGGGGUUGUUUGCACUAGGUCUCUGUGGGCCUUUCUCCUAGCACUGGCUUUUCUUUUUUUUUUUUCCUUUUUCCCUAGCAGAUACCUUAAAAGCUGCAGCAGCAUAUCCUGGUGACAGGGAUGGCAAGGAUGGCCAAAGGGAACAGUGCUCAGGACUCUCCCUGACAUUCCCAUUUGUCCUUCAUGUCUCAGUUACAGGCCCAAAAACUGCGACUGGCAUACACAAGAAGCUCCCAUUAUGGUGGUUCUCUGCCCAAUGUUAACCAGAUUGGCUGUGGCCUGGCCGAGUUCCAGGUGAGUGGACAUCAGCCAGGGAGGAGUGGAGGUUCCUCUGCUUCCUCUGCUGAUUACCUGUCCCUUUUGGCAGAGCCCCCUCCACUCACCUUUGGAUUCAUCUCGGAAUACUCGGCACCAUGGGCUGGUGGAACGGGUGCAGCGCGACCCCCGAAGAAUGGUGUCCCCACUCCGCCGAUAUCCCCGCCACAUAUCCUUAAUAGAGGACAGGGAGUCUGGGAGGUAGUGGGAAGGGGUUCUUCAGGGAGGCAUGGUAGGAAGGACUUACUUUCGCAGUACUGAGGGUUCCCUGCCACUCAGCUACACCCCAGCCCUUUUUAUUUUUUGAGAUAGGGUCUUACAAAGUCACUCGUGCUUACCUGGAACUUGUGAUCCUCCUGCCUCAGCCUUCUGAGUUGUGGGGUUACAGGCACGAGCCAUCACGUCCAUAGGAAGAGAUGUUAAAUGUUGCCUUGUUCCGUCCUUUUCCAGGAGCUUACCUUUACCCUGACUCAAUGAAAAGUGACCACAGUCAAUGUGUCAGGAGUUGCUGCUCCUCUCUGGCUGGUCUCAGCUGUCCUCACUUUGGCUCAGUCUGCUGCACAAGUAGUGGGCUCCCUAUGCUCUGACUAAGGAAGGCUUGAUCCCUUCGUUUCUGUUGUUUCAUUUCAGUCUCAGAGACCCAUAUACUCAUCUCCCCUAAGUCCUGCUCAGACAGUCUCCUAGAUUGUUCUCGCUCCAUUAUGCCUGAUACUUUUUUUUUUUUUAAACACAGUACUGAGGAUUGAACCCAGGGCCUUGCCAAUGCCAGGCAGGGACUCUGCUGCUGAGCUACAUACCCAGCUCCAAGCUCUGUUCUUUUUUUAAUUUCUUUCCAGUACGGGGGAUUAAACUCAGGGCCUUGUGCAUGCUAAGCAAGCACUUUACCAUUGAGCCACAUCCCCAGUCUCUUUUCAUUCUUUGACCCCAUUGUUGCCACUUGAAGAGAAAGAGAAAGAGAAAGGUUAUAUGUGUUUUGAAAUAGCUAUCUAGCCAGGCAUAGUGGCACACACCUGUAAUCCCAGCAGCUUGGGAGGCUGAAGCAGGAGGGUCGCAAGUUCAAAGCCAGCCUCAGCAACUUAGCAAGGCUCUAAGCAACUCAGUGAGACCCUAUCUCAAAAUAAAAAGGGUUGGGGGCCUGGGAUUGUGGCUCAGUGGUAGUGCACUUGCCUAGCACGCGUGAGGCACUGGGUCCCAUCCUCAGCACCACAUACAAAAAUAAAGUUAUUAAAAAACAACAAAAGGGCUGGGGAUGUGGCUCAGUGGUAAAGUGCUCUCGUACCAAAAAGAAAGAAAUAACUAUCUACUGUCUCCAUUGGUCGACUUUUUUGAGACAGGGUCUUGCUAAAGUUGCUGAGGCUAUUCUCAUACUUGGAGAUCUCCUGCUGCUCUGUUUACUCACUCUCCAUCUUCUUCCUUAACUGUUGCUGUUCACAUUGACAGUUCUCCCUACAGUCCCGCCUACUUAUCUCCUCCUCCAGAGAACAGCUGGCGAAGGUGAGUCCAGGUCAGGCAGUCCGCUGCCCACUCUGUCACUUUCUGAAGGAGCUGGGGCUUGGUUGGGAUACUGGACUAGGGUUUCAUCAGUACCUCCUCCUAUAUUGGCUUAGCUGGGAGGGUGGGGGCAGCAGGAGUAGGUGAUCAGAGUCCAGUCUUGGCGUGUUGACAUGUGUAGCCAAAGCAGGACCAAUAGAACUGGAGCCAAGCUGGGUGUGUGUGAGAGUGUGUGUGUGUGUGUGUGUGUGUGUGUAUGGGGGAGGGGAGAAAGGCAGGGUUACAGGUGAAAAUGGCUGCCUUCUGUCAAGGGUGGGUGCCAGAUACAGUGCAGGGAAACUAUUAGAUCUCUGAACCCCUCCACUCUCCAUCUUAGCCCUAGCACUCACGUCCAAAAGAGGCUCUGAGCUCCAAAUUUCCUGUUCAGCUUGUCCUGGCAGAGAGGAGUGGAGAAGUUUCCAGAUCUCUUAGAUUGACUGGGGGAGGGGAUUCAUGGGUCACAGGCAUCAGAAGAACCAGAAAGAGCAAAGAAUUAUUCUGGUGCCCGUCCUCUCUUUCCAUCGGGGCUGCCUCACAUUCCCAGCCCCCAUGUCUGCUUUCUUGUCACUGCCAGCAUUCUUCCUCCUCCUCACUCUGUUUUUCUACCCCAGGAUGAUGCCCUGGAGCAAUUUCCCUGCAGAGAAGGGGCAGUUGUUUCGACUACCGUCUGCACUCAACAGGUGAUGGCCCUUGCCUUAUUUAGGCCGUAUCUUCUUUAAUCUGCACUUUCUGGGGCCCUGUUGCUUCACCCCACACUGUUGUAGCCCAUCUAAUGUCUCCCCUGCUGGGCGGGGCUGGGCCACUGGGAAAAUCAUUACCGCUGCCAUUGCUGCUGCUGC
This 5463-nucleotide long non-coding RNA is filed under the name Marmota monax (woodchuck). Lineage: Eukaryota; Metazoa; Chordata; Mammalia; Rodentia; Sciuridae. The record is from RNAcentral.